Molecule: non-coding RNA, 49 nt
Filed under: Triticum aestivum (bread wheat)
Lineage: Eukaryota; Viridiplantae; Streptophyta; Magnoliopsida; Poales; Poaceae
Description: Guanidine-II sequence
Rfam family: Guanidine-II riboswitch aptamer (mini-ykkC)
About the family: Simpler in structure and has fewer highly conserved nucleotide positions than the ykkC-yxkD leader. Despite this each of its two stem-loop structures directly bind free guanidine. Therefore, mini-ykkC RNA motif represents a distinct class of guanidine-sensing RNAs.
Source: RNAcentral
UCUGCAGGACGACCUGUGAGCAUACCUANUCCUCUGCAGGACGACCUGU